RNAcentral lists this ribosomal RNA (253 nucleotides) under uncultured bacterium. RNAcentral describes it as "partial 16S ribosomal RNA". It matches the Rfam family "Bacterial small subunit ribosomal RNA", at positions 524 to 776 of the family's 1533-position model. The record is from RNAcentral.
UACGGAGGGGGCAAGUGUUACUCAUCAUGACUAGGCGUAAAGGGUGCUAAGAUUGCUAAAGUUUGUUCUGAUAUAAAGAUCAAUUGAAAUAUUGAAAGAAAUCACAUAAACAAUUUAGCUUGAGUAGAUUGGAGAAUAGAGUUACUAGUUUUUGAGGGGUAGAAUCCGACGAGAAGAUUAGGAGAUACAAAGGCGAAGGCAACUAUUUAUGAUCGACUGACAUUGAUACACAAAAGCGUGGGGAGCAAACAGG